AAUAUUGGACAUGAGCGAGCUGAUCCAGCCAUGCCGCGUGUGUGAGAGGCCCUAGGGUUGUAAGCACUUUCAGUGGGGAGAAAAGUGAUUCACCUAAUACGUGAGUUAAUUGAUGUUACCCACAGAAGAAGCACCGGCUAACUCCGUGCCAGCAGCCGCGGUAAUACGGAGGG
RNAcentral lists this ribosomal RNA (173 nucleotides) under uncultured Cellvibrio sp. Its description in RNAcentral is "partial 16S ribosomal RNA". It matches the Rfam family "Bacterial small subunit ribosomal RNA", at positions 360 to 532 of the family's 1533-position model. The record is from RNAcentral. Lineage: Bacteria; Pseudomonadati; Pseudomonadota; Gammaproteobacteria; Cellvibrionales; Cellvibrionaceae.